Molecule: ribosomal RNA, 235 nt
Filed under: uncultured fungus
Lineage: Eukaryota; Fungi
Description: partial 18S ribosomal RNA
Rfam family: Eukaryotic small subunit ribosomal RNA
Source: RNAcentral
AAGAUUAAGCCAUGCAUGUCUAAGUAUAAGCAAUUUAUACAGUGAAACUGCGAAUGGCUCAUUAAAUCAGUUAUCGUUUAUUUGAUAGUUCCUUUACUACAUGGUAUAACUGUGGUAAUUCUAGAGCUAAUACAUGCUUAAAAUCUCGACCCUUUGGAAGAGAUGUAUUUAUUAGAUAAAGAACCAAUGGGUUUAGGCCCUCCUUGGUGAUUCAUAAUAACUUCUCGAAUCGUAU